RNAcentral lists this ribosomal RNA (462 nucleotides) under uncultured bacterium. Its description in RNAcentral is "partial 16S ribosomal RNA". It matches the Rfam family "Bacterial small subunit ribosomal RNA", at positions 29 to 507 of the family's 1533-position model. The record is from RNAcentral.
AGUGAACGCUGGCGGCGUGCCUAAUACAUGCAAGUCGAACGGAGAUUAAGUAGCUUGCUAUUUAAUCUUAGUGGCGCACGGGUGAGUAAUAUAUAGCUAACUUGCCCAUUACUAAGGGACAACAGUUGGAAACGACUGCUAAUACCUUAUACUCCGUAUCUAUAUAAGUAGAUACGGGAAAGUUUUUCGGUAAUGGAUAGGGCUAUAUCGUAUCAGCUAGUUGGUAAGGUAAUGGCUUACCAAGGCUAUGACGCGUAACCGGUCUGAGAGGAUGAUCAGUCACACUGGAACUGAGACACGGUCCAGACUCCUACGGGAGGCAGCAGUAGGGAAUAUUGCUCAAUGGGGGAAACCCGGAAGCAGCAACGCCGCGUGGAGGAUGACACUUUUCGGAGCGUAAACUCCUUUUCUUGGGAAAGAAUUAUGACGGUACCCAAGGAAUAAGCACCGGCUAACUCCGUG